AUCAGCCUUCUGUCCAAGCAAAAGUGCCAGAACGUCUUGUGCCACCUCGCUCUGUUGCCGGUCUGGACUCCCACCGAUCAGCCCGUGGUCCUCUGCAUCGGACUGGACUCAUCCUGGACCUCUGGAUCUGGACUGCCUGCCUGUUGCCCGACCCCGAUCUGUUUGUGAGUAACCGCAUCUGUCUAACCCCUGUGUGCCUCUGAACUCAGCCGGACUAAGGACCUGGACUGGACCCCGACCCGCUCUGGACUAUCCCUCGGACCUUCUCAGGAUUUCGGAUUCCACCGGAACUGGACUGCCUGCCUGUUGCCCGACCCCGAUCUGUUUGUGAGUAACCGCAUCUGACUAACCCCUGUGAACCUCUGAACUCAGCCGGAUUAAGGACCUGGACUGGACCCCGACCCGCUCUGGAUCCGUCUCUGGACCCUCUCUGGACUUCUAACCCCUCGGCUCCUUCCCCGGACCCCCGUUUCUCUGCCCCGCUUCCUCGUUACUAGCCGGCGCUCGGAUUACCCGACUCUCCAGGUUAGUGCCUACUCCUCUGUCCAUCAAACGCCAGCAUUUCCUGGUCAUUAACCAGCUGCUCUGCCUCCAGGGUUCCUGCAGACGUGAGCCGCUCGGGUUGCCGUGCGACCGCCAUUAAAUAAACACUUGAAAGCGUCA
Molecule: long non-coding RNA, 663 nt
Organism: Fundulus heteroclitus (mummichog)
Lineage: Eukaryota; Metazoa; Chordata; Actinopteri; Cyprinodontiformes; Fundulidae
Exons: 2
Source: RefSeq, a predicted model, not a curated record